This 73-nucleotide transfer RNA is filed under the name Caudoviricetes sp. RNAcentral describes it as "tRNA-His". It matches the Rfam family "tRNA". Rfam says of the family: Transfer RNA (tRNA) molecules are approximately 80 nucleotides in length. Their secondary structure includes four short double-helical elements and three loops (D, anti-codon, and T loops). Further hydrogen bonds mediate the characteristic L-shaped molecular structure. tRNAs have two regions of fundamental functional importance: the anti-codon, which is responsible for specific mRNA codon recognition, and the 3' end, to which the tRNAs corresponding amino acid is attached (by aminoacyl-tRNA synthetases). tRNAs cope with the degeneracy of the genetic code in two manners: having more than one tRNA (with a specific anti-codon) for a particular amino acid; and 'wobble' base-pairing, i.e. permitting non-standard base-pairing at the 3rd anti-codon position. Lineage: Duplodnaviria; Heunggongvirae; Uroviricota; Caudoviricetes. The record is from RNAcentral.
GGUAUUUUAGUUUAACGGUAGAAUGUGAGAUUGUGGCUCUCAAGAAGUAGGUUCGACUCCUACAUUUACCCCA